ACUCCUACGGGAGGCAGCAGUGAGGAAUUUCCACAAUGGGCGAAAGCCUGAUGGAGCAAUCUCGCGUGGAGGAUGACACCUUUCGGGGCGUAAACUCCUUUUCUGAGGGAAGAAGUUCUGACGGUACCUCAGGAAUACAGGGCGGCUAAUUCCGUGCCAGCAGCCGCGGUAAUACGGAAGCCCUAAGCGUUAUCCGGAAUCACUGAGCGUAAAGCGAUCGAAGGUGGACCAGUUAGUCUGACAUCAAAUCCCUGCGGCUCAACCGUGGGUUCGUGUCGGAAACUGCUGGACUAGAGGAAUGCAGAGGAGACUGGAAUUUCUGUUGUAGGGGUAAAAUCCGUAGAUAACAGAAGGAACACCAAAAGCGAAGGCAGGUUUCUGGGCAUAUCCUGACGCUGUGCGAUCGAAAGCGUGGGGAGCGAAAGGGAUUAGAUACCCCUGUAGUCCACGCCGUAAACGAUGGAUACCCGGUGUAGGUAAGUCCACUCCUUAUCUGUGCCUAAGCUAACGCGAUAAGUAUCCCGCCUGGGGAGUACGGUCGCAAGACUAAUACUCAAAGGAAUAGACGGGGAUCCACACAAGCGGUGGAGCUAUCUCGUUUAAUUCGAUAAUAAGCGGAGAACCUUACCAGGACUUGACAUCCCGAGAAUUUUCUAGAAAUAGAAAAGUGCCUUUUUAAGGG
This 682-nucleotide ribosomal RNA is filed under the name uncultured organism. RNAcentral describes it as "bacterial SSU rRNA". It matches the Rfam family "Bacterial small subunit ribosomal RNA", at positions 335 to 1024 of the family's 1533-position model. The record is from RNAcentral.